Molecule: transfer RNA, 73 nt
Filed under: Marmota monax (woodchuck)
Lineage: Eukaryota; Metazoa; Chordata; Mammalia; Rodentia; Sciuridae
Description: tRNA.Pro
Source: RNAcentral
GUGGGUGUAGGUCGGUGGCGGAGUGUUUGCCUAGGAUGCAUCAGGCCCUGGGUUCAAUCCUCAGCACCACACA